Molecule: long non-coding RNA, 405 nt
Organism: Oncorhynchus masou masou (cherry salmon)
Lineage: Eukaryota; Metazoa; Chordata; Actinopteri; Salmoniformes; Salmonidae
Exons: 3
Source: RefSeq, a predicted model, not a curated record
CUGCUCACGCUGUGGUGAGCUCUCUCUCUGUCUGGGCCAUGCUUUACCUCUCUCUUUCACCCCUCUCUUUUCUCUAGCAAGCUCUUCAGCAUUCCUUCCCCCUCCCGGUUCCUCUCAAUUUCCUUUAUUUUGGACCUUUCUUACUAUGGUGCAGGAUUAUUUAAUUGCCUGGGAAGCCGAGACGUUGGACUGACAAAGAUGGAGGGAAUGAGGACCUGGCAGACCCCCGCUCACCCAGUCUAGAGAACCACCCCUACCUGAGCCACACUGGUCAAGGUGGCAGUAUAGACAGUGACUGUGCCUUUGAGGGUGACUACUCUCUGCCCCCUCUGUCUAUGACCGACAGCAUGCAGCACAUCCGCAUCAUGGAGGGCGUGUCACGCUCCCUGCCCUCCUCCCCGCUGC